GGUCCUGUCCGCCGGUCCGCCUUCUUGGUGUGUACUUGUUGGAUGGGACCUUACCUCCUGGUGAACGGCGAUGUCCUUUACUGGGUGUCGUCGCAAACCAGGACGUUUACUUUGAAAAAAUUAGAGUGUUCAAAGCAGGCCUUUGCCCGAAUACAUUAGCAUGGAAUAAUAGAAUAGGACGCGCGUUCCCAUUUUGUUGGUUUCUGAGAUCGCCGUA
This 217-nucleotide ribosomal RNA is filed under the name uncultured fungus. RNAcentral describes it as "partial small subunit ribosomal RNA". The stretch from base 96 to 217 matches the Rfam family "Eukaryotic small subunit ribosomal RNA", at positions 741 to 864 of the family's 1831-position model. The record is from RNAcentral. Lineage: Eukaryota; Fungi.